RNAcentral lists this ribosomal RNA (253 nucleotides) under uncultured bacterium. Its description in RNAcentral is "partial 16S ribosomal RNA". It matches the Rfam family "Bacterial small subunit ribosomal RNA", at positions 524 to 776 of the family's 1533-position model. The record is from RNAcentral.
UACGUAGGGUGCAAGCGUUAAUCGGAAUUACUGGGCGUAAAGCGUGUGUAGGUGGUUGUCAUAGUCAGGUGUGGAAGCCUUGAGCUCAACUCAAGAAAUGCACUUGAUACUGGGCAACUAGAGGACCGGAGAGGAUAGUGGAAUUCCCAGUGUAGUGGUGAAAUACGUAGAGAUUGGGAAGAACACCAGUGGCGAAGGCGGCUAUCUGGACGGUUUCUGACACUAAGACACGAAAGCGUGGGGAGCAAACAGG